AACGAACGCUGGCGGCGUGCCUAACACAUGCAAGUCGAACGGGAAAGCCCGCAAGGGUGAGUACAGUGGCGCACGGGUGCGUAACACGUGGGUAAUCUGCCCAGAAGCCCGGAAUAACUCCCCGAAAGGGGUGCUAAUGCCGGAUGAGACCACGGGGACUUCGGUCCCUGGGGGAAAAGGUGGCCUCUGUAUACAAGCUAUCACUUCUGGAUGAGCCCGCGGCCCAUCAGCUAGUUGGCGGGGUAAUGGCCCACCAAGGCUACGACGGGUAGCUGGUCUGAGAGGACGAUCAGCCACACUGGAACUGAGACACGGUCCAGACUCCUACGGGAGGCAGCAGUGGGGAAUCUUGCGCAAUGGGCGAAAGCCUGACGCAGCAACGCCGCGUGUGUGAUGAAGGUCUUCGGAUCGUAAAGCACUGUCGGGAGGGACGAAUAAGGGCCGGGUGAACAAUCCGGUCUGACGACGGUACCUCCAAAGGAAGCACCGGCUAACUCUGUGCCAGCAGCCGCGGUAAUACAGAGGGUGCUUGCGUUGUUCGGAAUUAUUGGGCGUAAAGCGCGUGUAGGCGGCCGGCCAAGUCGGAUGUGAAAAGCCCUCGGCUCAACCGAGGAAAGUGCGUUCGAUACUAGCUGGCUUGAGUACCGGAGAGGGUGGUGGAAUUC
RNAcentral lists this ribosomal RNA (665 nucleotides) under uncultured bacterium. RNAcentral describes it as "bacterial SSU rRNA". It matches the Rfam family "Bacterial small subunit ribosomal RNA", at positions 28 to 669 of the family's 1533-position model. The record is from RNAcentral.